This 708-nucleotide long non-coding RNA is filed under the name Cyanistes caeruleus (blue tit). RNAcentral describes it as "lncRNA (ENSCCEG00000008150.1)". The record is from RNAcentral. Lineage: Eukaryota; Metazoa; Chordata; Aves; Passeriformes; Paridae.
CUUUCCUUUUGGAGAAGAACUAUUUAUUCUUCCCCUUUUCCUCUCUUCAGGCUGGAGCUGAUCAAAUUGUUCAUGGGCUUCAAUCUGAGCUCUCUUUUAAGUUCCUUCUCUCCUGGACCUUUCUGGACAGCAAAGGACACCUGGGGAUCCACCAGCACCGGGAAACUGCUCUUGAUUUUCCCAGGGAUAGCUUGUGACUCAAAUGCUGCUGCAUCCUGCCUUUGCUGAAACUCCAGUGUGUGUCCAUGUCCCACCUUUCCUGGAUUGUCCACAAGAAAACCAGCUUACAGAAAGAAAGAAGUAAAUCUUUAAAGACUCAAAACUGAAUUCACUGUCAGCUGUCUGUGUGUAUCUCUCAAACUUGUAUCAGAGACUGGGAAAUUUAUAGCAGCAGCUCUGAUUAGAUGGAAUGAAAUAAUGCCACAGAGAUGGAGGUGAGUACUGAAAAUCUUUACCAGGUGUAGAACCUCCUGCUGCCUGUGUGAAUGCACAUGCAUGGACUCCAGCUGGACUUGCUUUCAUCUCCCCAGCCCACCAGACACCUCUCAGGGUCAUGUUUUAACGCCUUGCCUACCUGUGGGGCCGCCUGGUAGGUGAACAUUACAGCAGAGUUCAGACUGCCAGCUUCCAAAUAUCCUGGCAUCCCUUUUUCCCCUGCUGAAUGGCUUUGCUGUGCUCAGCUCAAUGUCCUUUCCUCAUUGUCAGGAC